RNAcentral lists this ribosomal RNA (200 nucleotides) under uncultured bacterium. RNAcentral describes it as "partial 16S ribosomal RNA". It matches the Rfam family "Bacterial small subunit ribosomal RNA", at positions 8 to 229 of the family's 1533-position model. The record is from RNAcentral.
AGAGUUUGAUCCUGGCUCAGGAUAAACGCUGGCGGCGUGCCUAACACAUGCAAGUCGAACGCUUUCGGGCAACCGAGAGAGUGGCGGACGGGUGAGGAACACGUGGGUUAUCUACCUUUCGGUGAGGAAUACCGGCGAGAAAUCGCCGACAAAACCGCAUAAGAUCGCGAGAUGAAAGUCGUAAGACGCCGAAAGAUGAG